Molecule: small RNA, 1047 nt
Filed under: Pan troglodytes (chimpanzee)
Lineage: Eukaryota; Metazoa; Chordata; Mammalia; Primates; Hominidae
Description: retained intron
Source: RNAcentral
UUCCAGAUAAACCCACUGCCCUACAGCCGCGUGGUGCACACCUACCGCCUCCCCAGCUGUGGCUGCCACCCCAAGCACUCCUGGGGCGCCCUGUGCCGCAAGCUGUUCCUUGGGGAGCUCAUCUACCCCUGGAGGCAGAGAGGGGACAAGCAGGACUGAGGGAACUGCUGGCUCGCCCGGCACCACCACACGGCCACGGCCAGCCAUCUGCUCUGCCAGGGUGGCACCAGCUCAGCUGGCGCGUGUCCCGUGCUUUGUGGACGCUGCUGUGUGCUCCUGAACACCGCAGGCCCUGCUAUCACACCUUGGGCUUGGAGGUCAUUGGGAGUGAGCAGAUGUGGGGGUGGCCAGCCAGGCUGGCCGCACUCCAUCACUGGCACUGCCUGCCUUGGGACCCGCUUCCCACCUGCUGCGGUCACCAUGGUGGCGAGCACAGCAGCCCCAGGUGUCCAGAGCACUGCCCCAUGCCCACCCUGCGUACCCAGGUCCAGAGGGUCCGUCCACCACAGCAGCCCCAGGUGGAGGGCUGGUCUCCCUGGGGGCUCCCCAGUGGCUCUGCCCUGGCUGUGGGGGUGGAGGGACCUUCCCAGGAUGAACCCCCCAGUCCCAGGCACCCUCUAGCUCCCUCAGCCGAACAGCACCCUGCAUCUGGGGGAUUGAAGCAGUCGCUGACCCCCGUCCCCAGUGGGCCCGGGCCCUCACUCCCUGAACCACACGGGGUUUAUUUGCGGACGUUCCCUGCAGAGGUGGCUUUGUGAAGAAGCCAUCAGCAGGCUGUGGGCAUCGCCAGGCUGCUGUGGGGGCGGGAGCAGCCUCAGUGUCAAGGGCCCGCCCACUGACCCAGCCAUACCUAUUCGUCCACGGUGCCCCUGUAGCAGCAGGCCCUGGGGCCAAAUCUGUCUCCCUUCAUGGGCCUCCCAGGGAAGGAGGAAGCCCUGCUGUGCAGACACCUCUGUGGCCCCCCAGGGGUGUGAGCGGCCUGGGGAGGGGGCCGUGGCACUGAGGCCGAAAGUGCCUGCCAGAUGGCACGGUCUGGGUGCGGGUGUU